Molecule: long non-coding RNA, 295 nt
Organism: Acinonyx jubatus (cheetah)
Lineage: Eukaryota; Metazoa; Chordata; Mammalia; Carnivora; Felidae
Exons: 2
Source: RefSeq, a predicted model, not a curated record
AGGUUGGAUCAACUUUGUUGUGACAGUUUCUCAGAUUUUCCUGUUGUUUGAUGACCUUGACAAUUUUCCGGAGUGCUAGUCAGAUAACUACAAGUUGUUAUUUGGGAAUAACUUUAAUUUCUAGAGAAUGAACUGGAGAAAAGCAUUUCUGGGAAAAGACUGGUGACCUGGCCAGAUAACUAGAAUCAGAAUGCAGAAUCAGGACACCACUAUGGACCAGGGCAUGUAGCGAUUUAUUCUAUAUAACUAAGGUGAAAGUACUUACAAUGCAUGUAAUAAAUUAUUAGGAAAAUCA